Molecule: ribosomal RNA, 471 nt
Filed under: Escherichia coli
Lineage: Bacteria; Pseudomonadati; Pseudomonadota; Gammaproteobacteria; Enterobacterales; Enterobacteriaceae
Description: bacterial SSU rRNA
Rfam family: Bacterial small subunit ribosomal RNA
Source: RNAcentral
GUUGGGUUAAGUCCCGCAACGAGCGCAACCCUUAUCCUUUGUUGCCAGCGGUCCGGCCGGGAACUCAAAGGAGACUGCCAGUGAUAAACUGGAGGAAGGUGGGGAUGACGUCAAGUCAUCAUGGCCCUUACGACCAGGGCUACACACGUGCUACAAUGGCGCAUACAAAGAGAAGCGACCUCGCGAGAGCAAGCGGACCUCAUAAAGUGCGUCGUAGUCCGGAUUGGAGUCUGCAACUCGACUCCAUGAAGUCGGAAUCGCUAGUAAUCGUGGAUCAGAAUGCCACGGUGAAUACGUUCCCGGGCCUUGUACACACCGCCCGUCACACCAUGGGAGUGGGUUGCAAAAGAAGUAGGUAGCUUAACCUUCGGGAGAGCGCUUACCACUUUGUGAUUCAUGACUGGGGUGAAGUCGUAACAAGGUAACCGUAGGGGAACCUGCGGUUGGAUCACCUCCUUACCUUAAAGAAGC